Molecule: small nucleolar RNA, 71 nt
Organism: Camelus dromedarius (Arabian camel)
Lineage: Eukaryota; Metazoa; Chordata; Mammalia; Artiodactyla; Camelidae
Source: Ensembl
UAGUCUAAUGAUGACGACUGAUGGCACUCAGUCAUAUAUGCUGAAUUCUGUGUGUCUAGGACUGAGUCUAA